RNAcentral lists this long non-coding RNA (408 nucleotides) under Betta splendens (Siamese fighting fish). RNAcentral describes it as "lncRNA (ENSBSLG00000006623.1)". The record is from RNAcentral. Lineage: Eukaryota; Metazoa; Chordata; Actinopteri; Anabantiformes; Osphronemidae.
GGAUUUGCAGUUUCACCAAACAGCACCACAGCAUCAGAGCUAGCGGGCAUUUUCAUCUGUAAGAUGAGCGAGUUCGGUUCGUUGGCAGGAAGACAGCUGCGCGUUGAAAUGUGUGUGUAGUGUGAUGAAAGUUCUAAAGGAACAAAACAGUAGUAGGAGUUUCGUGAUGGAGACCUGAGACUUCUGAAGAAGCCAGAGCAUGACCUUUGAACUUCAACCUUCAUUGUGUCUGAAGGAGUUCCUACCUUUGAUUUCUUCAUGAGCAGCAGAAGCCGCGUGAAGGAAACUGUGUGUGUCAGCGACGCUCUAACCACAACAAGUGUCACACAGGGUUCAGUGUUUGAGUAGAUCUACUGACUGAAGGCCUGAACAAGAAUGGGCCUAAAGGGAAGCGUCUCCCCCCACACC